This 433-nucleotide ribosomal RNA is filed under the name uncultured bacterium. Its description in RNAcentral is "partial 16S ribosomal RNA". It matches the Rfam family "Bacterial small subunit ribosomal RNA", at positions 29 to 507 of the family's 1533-position model. The record is from RNAcentral.
AGCGAACGCUGGCGGCAGGCCUAACACAUGCAAGUCGAACGAACUCUUCGGAGUUAGUGGCGGACGGGUGAGUAACACGUGGGAACGUGCCUUUUGGUUCGGAAUAACUCAGGGAAACUUGUGCUAAUACCGAAUGUGCCCUUCGGGGGAAAGAUUUAUCGCCAUUAGAGCGGCCCGCGUCUGAUUAGCUAGUUGGCGAGGUAACGGCUCACCAAGGCGACGAUCAGUAGCUGGUCUGAGAGGAUGACCAGCCACACUGGGACUGAGGCACGGCCCAGACUCCUACGGGAGGCAGCAGUGGGGAAUCUUGCGCAAUGGGCGAAAGCCUGACGCAGCCAUGCCGCGUGAAUGAUGAAGGUCUUAGGAUUGUAAAAUUCUUUCACCGGGGACGAUAAUGACGGUACCCGGAGAAGAAGCCCCGGCUAACUUCGUG